GUCCUUCGGGACCGAGCGGCGGACGGGUUAGUAACGCGUGGGAACAUACCCUUUGGUACGGAAUAGCCUCUGGAAACGGAGAGUAAUACCGUAUGUGCCCUUCGGGGGAAAGAUUUAUCGCCAAAGGAUUGGCCCGCGUUAGAUUAGAUAGUUGGUGGGGUAAUGGCCUACCAAGUCUACGAUCUAUAGCUGGUUUUAGAGGAUGAUCAGCAACACUGGGACUGAGACACGGCCCAGACUCCUACGGGAGGCAGCAGUGGGGAAUCUUAGACAAUGGGCGCAAGCCUGAUCUAGCCAUGCCGCGUGUGUGAUGAAGGCCUUAGGGUCGUAAAGCACUUUCGCCAGGGAUGAUAAUGACAGUACCUGGUAAAGAAACCCCGGCUAACUCCGUGCCAGCAGCCGCGGUAAUACGGAGGGGGUUAGCGUUGUUCGGAAUUACUGGGCGUAAAGCGUACGUAGGCGGAUCAGAAAGUAUGGGGUGAAAUCCCAGGGCUCAACCCUGGAACUGCCUCAUAAACUCCUGGUCUUGAGUUCGAGAGAGGUGAGUGGAAUUCCGAGUGUAGAGGUGAAAUUCGUAGAUAUUCGGAGGAACACCAGUGGCGAAGGCGGCUCACUGGCUCGAUACUGACGCUGAGGUACGAAAGUGUGGGGAGCAAACAGGAUUAGAUACCCUGGUAGUCCACACCGUAAACGAUG
This 696-nucleotide ribosomal RNA is filed under the name Sulfitobacter sp. RNAcentral's name for it is "bacterial SSU rRNA". It matches the Rfam family "Bacterial small subunit ribosomal RNA", at positions 75 to 811 of the family's 1533-position model. Lineage: Bacteria; Pseudomonadati; Pseudomonadota; Alphaproteobacteria; Rhodobacterales; Roseobacteraceae. The record is from RNAcentral.